CCAAACCAAACCCUCCCUUUUGCCUUCGUCUCUAACCUUCAGAGACGAAACCUAACGCCACCGCCCACCACCGCGUCGGGAAUCGCCUAUGGCGGUGGUCGGCGUCCAAACAGCCCCAAAAUUACACCGUCGAUUCACCUCGACCUCCCCAUCCCCGAUCCACCCUUAUCUUCCUUCGAAUCGACUCAGAACCCUUCAAAUAUUAGUUUAAGUCCAGAAACCCUAGCGCCGCCACAAAAUCCCCUGGUGGCGGCGCCACCUCCCCUUAGCCUCAAAUCAACACCAGAUGAUCACCACACUACCCUCACCCCAAGUCCCUUACCAGCUCUCCCCGAACCCCCCUCAAAUUGCUCGAAUAUCAAAUCUGAACCCUAAGUUCACGAACCCUAAAAUACAAAAGGUCUAUAAGGAUUUUUUCGGCCAGAUUGGACCUUAUUCUUGGGUUUUCACUUGAAAAUACAAGCUUAAGGUCUAGUCCGACCGGAAAUUAAAGACCUACCAAAGUUUUGAUUCGAGUCCAGUUGAAUUUCUGAGGUACUCAUUUGAUCUACCAUGGCCUAAGAGCUAAGGAACUUGUAGCUAAAGUUUUGAUUGAAAAUAAUAGGCUGACUUAAGGGCUCGAGAUGCCUACGUCUCUAUUUGUUCAUAUAUUCUUAUUCUGUUUUGCUUGUGUAUACAUUAGUCUUCAUGUUAGGUCGUGUAGUAGCAAUAUUUAGAACUUGACAAAUUGGAACUCUUGAUGUUUGGUAUAACUGGACUGUAUAAUUGGGCUGGACUACAUCGGCUACGAACUGUAGAUCAUGUUAGCAUUUAACAUUUAGUUA
This is a long non-coding RNA of Nicotiana attenuata, 824 nucleotides long. RefSeq lists it as uncharacterized. NCBI's taxonomy places the organism in Eukaryota, Viridiplantae, Streptophyta, Magnoliopsida, Solanales, Solanaceae. The transcript is spliced from 2 exons. The record is from RefSeq and is a predicted model, not a curated record.